This 877-nucleotide ribosomal RNA is filed under the name Serpula himantioides. Its description in RNAcentral is "LSU rRNA". It matches the Rfam family "Eukaryotic large subunit ribosomal RNA", at positions 67 to 915 of the family's 3401-position model. The record is from RNAcentral. Lineage: Eukaryota; Fungi; Basidiomycota; Agaricomycetes; Boletales; Serpulaceae.
AACAAGGAUUCCCCUAGUAACUGCGAGUGAAGCGGGAAGAGCUCAAAUUUUGAAUCUGGCGGUCCUCGUGGUCGUCCGAGUUGUAAUCUAGAGAAGCGUUUUCCGCGCUGGACCGUGUACAAGUCUCCUGGAACGGAGCGUCAUAGAGGGUGAGAAUCCCGUCUCUGACACGGACUACCAGGGCUUUUGUGAUGCGCUCUCGACGAGUCGAGUUGUUUGGGAAUGCAGCUCAAAUUGGGUGGUAAAUUCCAUCUAAAGCUAAAUACAGGCGAGAGACCGAUAGCGAACAAGUACCGUGAGGGAAAGAUGAAAAGGACUUUGGAAAGAGAGUUAAACAGUACGUGAAAUUGCUGAAAGGGAAACGCUUGAAGUCAGUCGCGUUGGCCGGGGAUCAGCCUUGCAAUCUUGUUGGGUGCAUUUCCUGGUUGACGGGUCAGCAUCAAUUUUGACCGUCGGAGAAGGGUCGAGGGAAUGUGGCAUCCUYCGGGGUGUGUUAUAGCCUUUGAUCGUAUGCGACGGUUGGGAUUGAGGAACUCAGCAUGACCCCUCGUGGGUUUGGGGCUUCGGCUCACAUCCAUGCUUAGGAUGCUGGCAUAAUGGCUUUAAGCGACCCGUCUUGAAACACGGACCAAGGAGUCUAACAUGCCCGCGAGUGUUUGGGUGUUUAAAACCCGAGCGCGUAAUGAAAGUGAAAGUUGAGACCUCUGUCGUGGAGGGCAUCGACGCCCGGACCAGAACUUUUGUGACGGCCCUGCGGUAGAGCGUGUAUGUUGGGACCCGAAAGAUGGUGAACUAUGCCUGAAUAGGGUGAAGCCAGAGGAAACUCUGGUGGAGGCUCGUAGCGAUUCUGACGUGCAAAUCGAUCGUCGAAUUUGGG